GAGUUUGAACCUGGCUCAGGAUGAACGCUGGCGGCGUGCCUAAUACAUGCAAGCCGAGCGAACCACUUCGGUGGUGAGCGGCGAACGGGUGAGUAACACGUAGGUGAUCUGCCCAUCAGACGGGGACAACGAUUGGAAACGAUCGCUAAUACCGGAUAGGACGAAAGUUUAAAGGUGCUUCUGGCACCGCUGAUGGAUGAGCCUGCGGCGCAUUAGCUAGUUGGUAGGGUAAAGGCCUACCAAGGCGACGAUGCGUAGCCGACCUGAGAGGGUGAACGGCCACACUGGGACUGAGACACGGCCCAGACUCCUACGGGAGGCAGCAGUAGGGAAUCUUCGGCAAUGGGCGAAAGCCUGACCGAGCAACGCCGCGUGAAUGAUGAAGGCCUUCGGGUUGUAAAAUUCUGUUAUAAGGGAAGAACGACUUUAGUAGGAAAUGGCUAGAGUGUGACGGUACCUUAUGAGAAAGCCACGGCUAACUACGUGCCAGCAGCCGCGGUAAUACGUA
This 508-nucleotide ribosomal RNA is filed under the name uncultured bacterium. RNAcentral's name for it is "bacterial SSU rRNA". It matches the Rfam family "Bacterial small subunit ribosomal RNA", at positions 9 to 529 of the family's 1533-position model. The record is from RNAcentral.